This 281-nucleotide ribosomal RNA is filed under the name uncultured bacterium. RNAcentral's name for it is "partial 16S ribosomal RNA". It matches the Rfam family "Bacterial small subunit ribosomal RNA", at positions 58 to 339 of the family's 1533-position model. The record is from RNAcentral.
CAAGUCGAACGGCAGCACGGGGGCAACCCUGGUGGCGAGUGGCGAACGGGUGAGUAAUGUAUCGGAACGUACCCAGUCGUGGGGGAUAACUAUCCGAAAGGAUAGCUAAUACCGCAUACGUCCUGAGGGAGAAAGCGGGGGACCUGCAAGGGCCUCGCGCGAUUGGAGCGGCCGAUAUCGGAUUAGCUAGUUGGUGAGGUAAAGGCUCACCAAGGCGACGAUCCGUAGCGGGUCUGAGAGGACGACCCGCCACACUGGAACUGAGACACGGUCCAGACUCC